GGCGGCGUGCNUAACACAUGCAAGUCGAACGAGAAAGUUCCUUCGGGAAUGAGUAGAGUGGCGCACGGGUGAGUAACGCGUGGGUAAUCUGCCCCUNGGAUUUGGGAUAACUUCGCGAAAGUGGAGCUAAUACCGGAUAGUCUGGCUUUGUAAAAGGAGUCGGUAAAGGAUGCCUCUGCAUAUGCAUUCGUCCGAGGAUGAGCCCGCGUCUCAUUAGCUAGUUGGUAGGGUAACGGCCUACCAAGGCGACGAUGAGUAGCUGGUCUGAGAGGAUGAUCAGCCACACUGGGACUGAAACACGGCCCAGACUCCUGCGGGAGGCAGCAGUGGGGAAUAUUGCGCAAUGGGCGAAAGCCUGACGCAGCAACGCCGUGUGAGGGAUGAAGGUUUUCGGAUCGUAAACCUCUGUCAGAAGGGAAGAAGUGAUGCGGGUCCAAUAGGCCCGCAUUUGGACG
Molecule: ribosomal RNA, 455 nt
Filed under: Desulfomicrobium orale
Lineage: Bacteria; Pseudomonadati; Thermodesulfobacteriota; Desulfovibrionia; Desulfovibrionales; Desulfomicrobiaceae
Description: bacterial SSU rRNA
Rfam family: Bacterial small subunit ribosomal RNA
Source: RNAcentral